Molecule: long non-coding RNA, 837 nt
Filed under: Lynx canadensis (Canada lynx)
Lineage: Eukaryota; Metazoa; Chordata; Mammalia; Carnivora; Felidae
Description: lncRNA (ENSLCNG00005016563.1)
Source: RNAcentral
CUGUAUCUAUUGUUAAUAAAACAGCUUCUUUCUUUUGGUGAAGGGGAGAGGUUAGAUAUGUGGCCUCUGGAUUCCUGAUGAUGGACAAAUAUUCACACAUGCUGUCUACUGCUGGCAAAAUAACCCAGUGAAACUGAACAUCCAAGUAAUGAAAAUGCUAAAGAAAAAUGCCAGGAACAGAUUGCCAAGAGACGGAGGCUGUCUUCUCUGAGAAUUUGUACCUGCAAGUCUGCAUCCAGUGAAAGAAUGAGAUUUUUCUAAGAGUAACAAAUAAGAUCAGACAUCAAAAAACAAAACAAAACUUAAAACACUUUGGAGAACCCAGUCCUACUUAUAUACGUUUGUGGGGAUGGCCUUUGUGAGGAGAGUGAGAGCUGCUCCAUGUGUCUAGCUGACUAUGGGAAAUGUCUACUUCCUGUAGAUGACUGGGUGAUGAUUACCCUUCUAAUCUGCUUGGUCUCUACUGCCUCUGCCUUGACCAUUCUGGUAUGCCAUCAUUUUGAUUGCCUCAUGAAGUGACCCAAGCUUGGAAGGAAGAGGGUUCUUCUGUUAGGCAUUCCAGUGUCUCUUGAGGAGCUAAUUACAGGGAAGCCUGAGAAUCGCUGUCUUUGCCCUUCAGAGUAUGCAGAGGUAAGGGGUGAGGAGAGAAAGGGGACUUGAUCAUCAUCUGAAGCCAUCACAUCAACUAAGCAUGAGUCCAUGUUAUGUCUUGGAAAGAGAUAUAUCAAUGAGUAAUCUAUUGCAUCACGUAACAACUUCUUGGCAUUUUUCGGGCUUUUCCCAGUCUACUUCCAAAUAGAGAUGAUACAGUGGGCAAUUGGAAUAUGUGUUGGGAAC